This 253-nucleotide ribosomal RNA is filed under the name uncultured bacterium. RNAcentral's name for it is "partial 16S ribosomal RNA". It matches the Rfam family "Bacterial small subunit ribosomal RNA", at positions 524 to 776 of the family's 1533-position model. The record is from RNAcentral.
UACGUAGGGGGCGAGCGUUAUCCAGAUCUACUGGGCGUAAAGGGCUCGUAGGUGGCCAACUAAGUCAGACGUGAAAUCCCUCGGCUUAACCGGGGAACUGCGUCUGAUACUGGAUGGCUUGAGUUUGGGAGAGGGACGCGGAAUUCCAGGUGUAGCGGUGAAAUGCGUAGAUAUCUGGAGGAACACCGGUGGCGAAGGCGGCGUCCUGGACCAACACUGACACUGAGGAGCGAAAGCCAGGGGAGCAAACGGG